UUUAUACGGAGAGUUUGAUCCUGGCUCAGGACGAACGCUGGCGGCGUGCUUAACACAUGCAAGUCGAACGGUCUACCUCGACAGAAACCUUCGGGUUGAAGACG
This 104-nucleotide ribosomal RNA is filed under the name Halanaerobium congolense. RNAcentral describes it as "16S rRNA. Bacterial SSU". It matches the Rfam family "Bacterial small subunit ribosomal RNA", at positions 1 to 95 of the family's 1533-position model. Lineage: Bacteria; Bacillati; Bacillota; Clostridia; Halanaerobiales; Halanaerobiaceae. The record is from RNAcentral.